GUGGUGGUGGCGAGAUCCAUCAGCACCAUCCCCGCCCUUGGUUUCCCGAUGAGCGUGAUGGGUUUAUCUCAUGGUUGCGCGGGGAAUUUGCUGCCUCGAAUGCGAUAAUUGAUGCGCUUUGCCAUCAUUUACGUGCUGUAGGAGAGCCUGGGGAAUAUGAUAUGGUUAUUGGAUGUAUACAGCAACGGCGAUGUAAUUGGACACCGGUGCUUCAUAUGCAGCAGUACUUUUCAGUUGCAGAAGUGAUGUAUGCCCUUCAGCAGGUAACCUCAAGGAGGCAGCAGAGGUAUAUGGACCCUGUGAAAGUGGGGCCGAAGUUGUAUAGAAGACCUGGGCCAGGGUUUAAGCAGCAGCAGGGCCAUCGGGCUGAAGCCACAGUCAAGG
RNAcentral lists this long non-coding RNA (384 nucleotides) under Cucumis sativus (cucumber). RNAcentral describes it as "long non-coding RNA (CSAT_LNC001884)". The record is from RNAcentral. Lineage: Eukaryota; Viridiplantae; Streptophyta; Magnoliopsida; Cucurbitales; Cucurbitaceae.